Non-coding RNA from Cinara cedri, 255 nucleotides. NCBI's taxonomy places the organism in Eukaryota, Metazoa, Arthropoda, Insecta, Hemiptera, Aphididae. The record is from the annotation of a GenBank genome assembly.
CGUGCUUUAUUCCAUAUCGUUCCUAACACCCGGACAAAAAUUGAACGUGGUUCUAACGGUAAAACGGAGAAAAAAGGGCUACCCCGUAACCUCAAUAUAAACGAGACGACGAGUAAUUUAGUAAGUAGAUUUUGGAUGCAUAGUGUCGCGAAUAACCUAUUGCAGUUUACUAUAAAAUCAAACAAACAUAUUGGUAAAAUGUUUUCUUUUCUCGGAAGACGUUUUUAUCGAGAUUAGUAAAAAUACUCAGAUUUU